UUUAAAUGGCCGCAGUACCUUGACUGUGCUAAGGUAGCAUAAUCAAUUGGCUUCUAAUUAAAGUCUGGAAUGAAAGGAAAUAUGAAGUAAUUCUAUCUUAAAGGAUUUUUUUUGAAUUUAUUUAAAUGAUGAAAAUAUCAUUUUAUAGAAAAAAGACGAGAAGACCCUUAGAGUUUUGAUAUUUAUAUAUUUUUGUUGGGGCGACAGGUAAACAUAUAACUUUACGAAUUAUCAUAUUGAUCGAUUUUUUAUAAGAAUAAUAAAACUACCUUAGGGAUAACAGCAUUAUAUUUUUUUAUGAUUGUGACCUC
RNAcentral lists this ribosomal RNA (311 nucleotides) under Biomphalaria straminea. RNAcentral's name for it is "partial 16S ribosomal RNA". The record is from RNAcentral. Lineage: Eukaryota; Metazoa; Mollusca; Gastropoda; Planorbidae.